CCUACGGGUGGCAGCAGUGGGGAAUAUUGGUCAAUGGGCGCAAGCCUGACCCAGCAACGCCGCGUGAAGGAAGAAUGCUUUAGGGUUGUAAACUUCUUUUGACAGGGAAGAGUAGAAGACGGUGCCUGUCGUAUAGUCCACGCCUAACUACGUGCCAGCGGCUGCGGUAGUACGUGCGGGUCAGGUGUUGUUCGGAAUGACUGGGCGUUAAGGGUGUGUAGGCGGGGUAGCAAGUUAGAAGUGAAAUACCUAGAGCUUAACUCAGGUUUUGGAUCUAACACUGCUAGACUUGAGUUCAGUAGAGGAAAGUGGAAUUCGUGGUGUAGCGGUGGAAUGCGUAGAUAUUAGGAGGAACAUCAGUGGCGAAGGCGACUUACUGGACUGUAACUGACGCGGAGGCACGAAAGUGUGGGGAGCAAACAGGAUUAGAUACCCGAGUAGUC
RNAcentral lists this ribosomal RNA (443 nucleotides) under uncultured bacterium. RNAcentral's name for it is "partial 16S ribosomal RNA". It matches the Rfam family "Bacterial small subunit ribosomal RNA", at positions 338 to 795 of the family's 1533-position model. The record is from RNAcentral.